This 651-nucleotide ribosomal RNA is filed under the name Triticum aestivum (bread wheat). RNAcentral's name for it is "partial small subunit ribosomal RNA". Lineage: Eukaryota; Viridiplantae; Streptophyta; Magnoliopsida; Poales; Poaceae. The record is from RNAcentral.
AUGGAUGUCAACCCCGUGGUGACUUGCUGGAACAUUCAUGGUUUGAACAAUCCGGCAAAGAGGAAAGCGGUGAGAGAGUUCUUGGCUUCGGUGAAGCCUAACCUAGUGUGUUUGCAGGAAACAAAAUUGGAGGUUGUAGACCAUUUUCUCUUAAUGCAAUGGUGUGGCCUGUCGUUGGACGGCUUUGCUUACUUGCCGGCUGAUGACACGAGAGGAGGGAUUCUACUGGCAUGGGAUACCACGGUGCUGCAGGUAGAUAGCAUCCAGAGUGAUGCGAAUUUCCUCACGGGUUUGGUUCACCCUAGAGCUGGUGAGGAUUGGUGGAUUUCGGUGGUUUAUGGUCCCCAAGGUAAUGAUGCGAUAUCCCAGUUUCUGGUGGACCUGGCGGCUAGGCGUGCUCUAUGCCCUGGUCCUUGGAUGGUGCUUGGGGACUUUAACAUGAUCUUGCGAGCAAACGAGAAAAGCAACGCUAACAUAAACUGCAUGAUGAUGAACAAAUUCCGGAGCUUUGUCGACAGUUGUGAGCUAAAGGAGCUUUAUAUGCAUGGCGUAGAUUCACCUGGUCUAGUGAAAGAGAAAACCCUACGCUCACUAGAAUUGACAGUGUAUUGGUGUCGGUUGCUUGGGAGCUCGCAUGGCCAGACUGUUUGA